AUGCUCGUGUACCAGGACAAGCUUUCCGGCGACGAGCUUCUGUCGGAUUCGUUCCCGUACAGGGAGCUGGAGAACGGCGUGCUCUGGGAAGUCGACGGCCAUUGGGUCGUUCAAGGAGCAGUUGAUGUGGACAUUGGAGCCAAUCCCUCUGCUGAGGGUGGUGGUGAUGAUGAGGGUGUCGAUGACCAGGCCGUGAAGGUGGUUGACAUUGUUGACACCUUCCGUCUUCAGGAGCAACCUGCUUUUGACAAGAAGCAGUUUAUCUCUCACAUGAAGCGCUACAUCAAGAACCUCUCUGCCAAGCUUGAAGGGGAUGACCUAGAUGUUUUCAAGAAGAAUGUUGAGUCUGCCACAAAGUAUCUUCUUAGCAAGCUCAAGGACCUUCAGUUGUAA
This 393-nucleotide ribosomal RNA is filed under the name Triticum aestivum (bread wheat). Its description in RNAcentral is "partial small subunit ribosomal RNA". Lineage: Eukaryota; Viridiplantae; Streptophyta; Magnoliopsida; Poales; Poaceae. The record is from RNAcentral.